Molecule: ribosomal RNA, 151 nt
Filed under: Chromobacterium violaceum
Lineage: Bacteria; Pseudomonadati; Pseudomonadota; Betaproteobacteria; Neisseriales; Chromobacteriaceae
Description: partial 16S ribosomal RNA
Rfam family: Bacterial small subunit ribosomal RNA
Source: RNAcentral
UCCUACGGGAGGCAGCAGUGGGGAAUUUUGGACAAUGGGCGCAAGCCUGAUCCAGCCAUGCCGCGUGUCUGAAGAAGGCCUUCGGGUUGUAAAGGACUUUUGUUCGGGAGGAAAUCCCGCUGGUUAAUACCUGGCGGGGAUGACAGUACCG